GUGGAUUAGAUACCCCGGUAGUCCACGCCCUAAACGAUGUCAACUAGUUGUUGGUAGAGUAAAAUCUAUGAGUAACGCAGCUAACGCGUGAAGUUGACCGCCUGGGGAGUACGAUCGCAAGAUUAAAACUCAAAUGAAUUGACGGGGGCCCGCACAAGCGGUGGAUUAUGUGGAUUAAUUCGAUGCAACGCGAAAAACCUUACCUGGCCUUGACAUGUACCGAAUUUGGGAGAGAUUCCUUAGUGCUCGAAAGAGAGCGGUAACACAGGUGCUGCACGGCCGUCGACAACU
This 291-nucleotide ribosomal RNA is filed under the name uncultured bacterium. Its description in RNAcentral is "partial 16S ribosomal RNA". It matches the Rfam family "Bacterial small subunit ribosomal RNA", at positions 773 to 1060 of the family's 1533-position model. The record is from RNAcentral.